CAGCAGCCACGGUAAUACGUAGGUGGCAAGCGUUGUCCGGAAUUAUUGGGCGUAAAGCGCGCGCAGGUGGUUUAAUAAGUCUGAUGUGAAAGCCCACGGCUCAACCGUGGAGGGUCAUUGGAAACUGUUAAACUUGAGUGCAGGAGAGAAAAGUGGAAUUCCUAGUGUAGCGGUGAAAUGCGUAGAGAUUAGGAGGAACACCAGUGGCGAAGGCGGCUUUUUGGCCUGUAACUGACACUGAGGCGCGAAAGCGUGGGGAGCGAACAGGAUUAGAUACCCCAGUAGUCCCUGUCUCUUAUAC
This 301-nucleotide ribosomal RNA is filed under the name uncultured bacterium. RNAcentral's name for it is "partial 16S ribosomal RNA". It matches the Rfam family "Bacterial small subunit ribosomal RNA", at positions 509 to 807 of the family's 1533-position model. The record is from RNAcentral.